This 682-nucleotide ribosomal RNA is filed under the name uncultured Bacteroidales bacterium. Its description in RNAcentral is "bacterial SSU rRNA". It matches the Rfam family "Bacterial small subunit ribosomal RNA", at positions 67 to 738 of the family's 1533-position model. The record is from RNAcentral. Lineage: Bacteria; Pseudomonadati; Bacteroidota; Bacteroidia; Bacteroidales.
GGGCAUCAGGAAGAAAGCUUGCUUUCUUUGCUGGCGACCGGCGCACGGGUGAGUAACACGUAUCCAACCUGCCCUUUACUCGGGGAUAGCCUUUCGAAAGAAAGACUAAUACCCGAUAGCAUAAUGAUUCCGCAUGGUUUCAUUAUUAAAGGAUUCCGGUAAAGGAUGGGGAUGCGUUCCAUUAGGUUGUUGGUGAGGUAACGGCUCACCAAGCCUUCGAUGGAUAGGGGUUCUGAGAGGAAGGUCCCCCACAUUGGAACUGAGACACGGUCCAAACUCCUACGGGAGGCAGCAGUGAGGAAUAUUGGUCAAUGGGCGUUAGCCUGAACCAGCCAAGUAGCGUGAAGGAUGAAGGCUCUAUGGGUCGUAAACUUCUUUUAUAUAAGAAUAAAGUGCAGUAUGUAUACUGUUUUGUAUGUAUUAUAUGAAUAAGGAUCGGCUAACUCCGUGCCAGCAGCCGCGGUAAUACGGAGGAUCCGAGCGUUAUCCGGAUUUAUUGGGUUUAAAGGGAGCGUAGGUGGACUGGUAAGUCAGUUGUGAAAGUUUGCGGCUCAACCGUAAAAUUGCAGUUGAUACUGUCAGUCUUGAGUACAGUAGAGGUGGCCGGAAUUCGUGGUGUAGCGGUGAAAUGCUUAGAUAUCACGAAAGAACUCCGAUUGCGAAGGCAGCUCACUGGACUGCA